Transfer RNA from Sphaerobolus stellatus SS14, 100 nucleotides. It matches the Rfam family "tRNA". From Rfam's summary of the family: Transfer RNA (tRNA) molecules are approximately 80 nucleotides in length. Their secondary structure includes four short double-helical elements and three loops (D, anti-codon, and T loops). NCBI's taxonomy places the organism in Eukaryota, Fungi, Basidiomycota, Agaricomycetes, Geastrales, Sphaerobolaceae. The record is from Rfam.
UCCGAUAUGGUGUAGUGGCUAACAUUAUCGCCUUUCAUAAGAGUGCUUAAAGGCACUGUUCAGAACGCGAUAGCCCGGGGUUCAAUUCCCCGUGUCGGAA